RNAcentral lists this transfer RNA (76 nucleotides) under Pseudomonadales bacterium. RNAcentral's name for it is "tRNA-Val". It matches the Rfam family "tRNA". Rfam says of the family: Transfer RNA (tRNA) molecules are approximately 80 nucleotides in length. Their secondary structure includes four short double-helical elements and three loops (D, anti-codon, and T loops). Lineage: Bacteria; Pseudomonadati; Pseudomonadota; Gammaproteobacteria; Pseudomonadales. The record is from RNAcentral. RNAcentral also lists the same sequence under 8 other names.
GGGUGGUUAGCUCAGCUGGUAGAGCAUCGCCCUUACAAGGCGAGGGUCACAGGUUCGAUCCCUGUACCACCCACCA